GAGGAGCCCGCGGCGGAUUAGCUAGUUGGCAGGGUAACGGCCUACCAAGGCGACGAUCCGUAGCCGGCCUGAGAGGGCGGUCGGCCACACUGGCACUGACACACGGGCCAGACUCCUACGGGAGGCAGCAGUCGGGAAUUUUGGGCAAUGGGCGAAAGCCUGACCCAGCAACGCCGCGUGAAGGAUGAAGCUUUUCGGAGUGUAAACUUCAUAAGAAUGGGACGAAUAAGAGAGGGCUAACACCCCUUUUGAUGACGGUACCAUUUGUAAGCUCCGGCUAACUCCGUGCCAGCAGCCGCGGUAAUACGGGGGGAGCAAGCGUUGUUCGGAUUUACUGGGCGUAAAGGGCGCGUAGGCGGCGCAACAAGUCACUUGUGAAAUCUCCGGGCUUAACCCGGAGCGGCCAAGUGAUACUGUCGUGCUAGAGUGCGGAAGGGGCUACUGGAAUUCUCGGUGUAGCGGUGAAAUGCGUAGAUAUCGAGAGGAACACCUGCGGCGAAGGCGGGUAGCUGGGCCGACACUGACGCUGAGGCGCGAAAGCCAGGGGAGCGAACGGGAUUAGAUACCCCGGUAGCCCUGGCCUUAAACGAUGGAUGCUUGGUGU
This 604-nucleotide ribosomal RNA is filed under the name uncultured soil bacterium. RNAcentral's name for it is "bacterial SSU rRNA". It matches the Rfam family "Bacterial small subunit ribosomal RNA", at positions 224 to 823 of the family's 1533-position model. The record is from RNAcentral.